AGUGCUCCGUGAUCUUCAUGAAGAAAUGGAGUUUGUUGAUCUUAAAAAGGUUUUUGAUUAUGGGAACUAUGUGGAAGGAGUUCCAAAACCUGCAAACUUCACCCCUGCCUUCAAAUUACCUAAAACAUUGCAGUAUAGUUUGAAGAAAAAAGUGGGAUAUGGAUCUGCUUCUGU
Long non-coding RNA from Protopterus annectens (West African lungfish), 174 nucleotides. RefSeq lists it as uncharacterized. Lineage: Eukaryota; Metazoa; Chordata; Ceratodontiformes; Protopteridae. The record is from RefSeq and is a predicted model, not a curated record. The transcript has 3 exons.